AUCGUAGCCACGACUCGCGGCAGCGAGAGG
Molecule: small RNA, 30 nt
Filed under: Bombyx mori (domestic silkworm)
Lineage: Eukaryota; Metazoa; Arthropoda; Insecta; Lepidoptera; Bombycidae
Description: ovarian small RNA-12507
Source: RNAcentral